Molecule: long non-coding RNA, 929 nt
Organism: Halichondria panicea
Lineage: Eukaryota; Metazoa; Porifera; Demospongiae; Suberitida; Halichondriidae
Exons: 2
Source: RefSeq, a predicted model, not a curated record
AGCCUCGAUCCCAGGCCGAGUUUUCGCUUUUAUAACGGUUAGGCGAACAACUGGGCCUGGUACUAGUUGUCUGCGCAUGCGUCAAUCGUUCGUCAGAUUCUGACGAAUGGAUAUUCUCGUUCACUUUCGUGACAUUUAUAUUCGUGUACUAUCGUGUACUAGAAGUCAGUUCCCGUUUUAUCAUUAUUGGAAUCGAUUGGAAUGGCUCUUAGCUGAAGCUUCUCUCUUCUCUGAAGCUUAUUCUGAAGACUGAACAACAAGGGAAGAGGUAUAAAGCUUUGUCAAGCUUGUUAAGGUCAGAUAUUUUUGUGUGGGCCCUAUGGCCGGCUAUGCUAUCAAGUCUUGUUCAUGUUUGGCAAGAAUGUAGGUAGACUAUAGUUUCAUCAUUAAUAUGGUGGAUCAAGUGAAGAGUGUGAGCUAGAGAACUUGGUGCUGCCAUCAUCAGCUCGUCGACAAUGACACUAUAACCGAGAAAUUUAAUAUGUAUAGAUCUACACGUAUUUAAAAUGUCUACUUCUCUGUACAGGAGCAAUGGCUAAUAUCCAGCUAUCCCAACAGUGCUCCUCUUGGCUAUACUAACGGACGAGACUGGACAGUUUGAGACACAGGACUGGAGUAUGACCUGCUCAUUCGAGCGUUGCUGGGUAGCUCAGAGACAUCAAGAGAAUCUACGUUUUCUCAAGCAAUGAGUUACGAGUUGGGGCCUAGAAUCAGAGAAGUCCAGCAGCCUGCUAAAUCUUUUUGAAACGUAAUUUGAAGGCAUUCAAUCAUCCUGAAGUUGCCCUGGGUCACUGUAAUUGUGCUGCAGCACAACUGGCAACUCCCCAGGCCUUUGUGAAGCAGCUCCCUAUGUGCAUCUUUUGUGUACUCACUCUGUGCAUUUUCUGUGUACAAAUUUCUAUUAUUGAUUUAUUAAAUAUUUUUGCCGA